UAACUCAAAAAACCACAACAGUCUGUUUCAUCCGUAUAGGAAUCAUCAGGUGGUCUGAUGAUUCCUAUACGGAUGAAACAGACUGUUGUGGUUUUU
Non-coding RNA from Paramuricea clavata, 96 nucleotides. NCBI's taxonomy places the organism in Eukaryota, Metazoa, Cnidaria, Anthozoa, Malacalcyonacea, Plexauridae. The record is from the annotation of a GenBank genome assembly.